CCCCCUUUACAAUUGAAAAUAGUAGGCUUUAUAUCCGAAAAAAAAAGGAAAAGAAAAAAUAAAAAUCCAUUUUUAUUCUUCUCCAUUUGCUGUUCUGUUGUCGUCCUUUUUGUUUGUCUCUACUGCUGUUGCUUUUUUUUGUUUUGCAGGUACGGGUGUGCUGGCGUGGCUGGUGGUGUACUGGAGCGUGCCAGGGCAGUGGAGGCUGAAUGGUUGCGGCGCACAGAGAGAGCCCUAGGGUUUCUGUUCUUGAAAUGUUUCGGGCCUUUUGGGCUUAUGUAAUUUGGGUCUGGGUUUAUCCGUUAAUGGGUUUUAGGAUAUUUGAUUUUGGGUUGUAAUUAGACAGAUAAUGGACUGUUAUAAUUAUUUUUGUUUUUUCUUGGUUUAUUCUUGUGGUCUGGGCCCGGGCAUAAUUUGGGCCUUACAG
Molecule: long non-coding RNA, 427 nt
Filed under: Gossypium barbadense (sea-island cotton)
Lineage: Eukaryota; Viridiplantae; Streptophyta; Magnoliopsida; Malvales; Malvaceae
Description: long non-coding RNA (GBAR_LNC006633)
Source: RNAcentral